ACAAGGAUACAAAUGAUCAAGAUGCUGGGUUGCCAGCUUAAGCACUCCCUCUGCUCACGGUACUAACAAGCUUGAGCUAACUCUACUAAUUGAUUUUCACAAAACUCUACUAACCAGUUUGCCGUGGCUGCGACCCCGCCAGCACCUACCGAAACCCCACACAACGUAGGUGCGUCUCCGGCGGAGUAGACGGAAGCUCGAUGACCAAAGCUUGCAGCUCCCGCUCCGCGAGCCGCCUCGCCCGCGCGGCAGCCGCCGCAGGCCACCGCCCCUGUGCGGCCGUUGCCGACACCGCCGCAGGCCAUCGCCUGCGCGCGGUCGCUGUGGACCGCCGCCGACGUCGCAGGCAACCUCGCCCCCGUGCUGCUGCUGCAGGCCACACGCCCGCGCGUGGCCUUCGCCGCCGCGGGCAACUCGCCCUUGCCCAACUCAGCCCAAAUCCGGGCUAGAGCAGCCCGAAUCGGAGGAUUCCGCCACCGCCGCGCCCUCCUAGCUCCCGCACGGGCAUCCGGUGGGCCAGCUCCGACGACAUCGAGAUGGGAGGGGGAAGGAGAAGGGGUGGCAGCGCUAGGGUUUCCGAUGGGGAACGAUGGCUUGGGGGAGAGGGAGGGAAGAUGCGCGGGAGGAGGCCUCGCCGCCACCGUCCUUGCGCCCGCGUGGGCUUCCGGCGGUGCGCUCCGGUGGCGGCGAGAUGGAGGAACGGGGGCGGAGGAGCUGAGGGGCGCGCGGCGGUGGUCCACCUGGGUCGCCCUGUGGGGAUGACGCGCUCGAAAGGGAGGGAAGGACGAACCUGAAUCAAGAGCUGAGCUAGCCCCGGGGGUGCAACACCACCGACGGAGCCGGGCUCAGCGAGCCAUGGGAUACCGGACUCCUCGUCAUCGCGCGCCCGGACUACGCAUCACAUCGCGCGGACGGUCUCGGGGCCUCCACUCUCCAGCCGGUGGGACUCCAAAAUCAUGCGACUCUCAUGACUCCGACCCAUACCCCGGCACGACUACAAGCAGCACUGCAGCAGUGUUCCGAUUGGGCUGUGACCUCUGGCCUGUACUCCAUACGAGCAUAGCGCAAUGAUCACUUGAUCAGUGAUCGGCGUGGGGAGUGCCCACUGGGGGAGAGGAGAUCGCGUUGUUUGAUCGGUCAGUGGCAUCGAUCGGGUCCGGGCUGUAGCAGCAGCACGCAGCCUCCAAAUAAUUCCCCAUGGGCCGCCGCUGGCCUCUGGCCGUGGCCUUUUCGUGCCAACUAGAUCCAGUUCACGUGCCGGGAGAGAACGAGAGGAUCCCGCCGGUGCCGGCGACUGUUUGGGUCGCGGAUACGAGAGAUCUGGAGGCUUUUCUUUUUCUCUUUACGAGGACAACAAAAGAUGGAGGCGGACGAAUUGGCCGCUCGAUGCCCUCAUGGAGUGGAUCCUGUUGAUCCGGAGAGGAAUAUUGUGCUAUGUCCCAGUAGGGCCCGCUGCUGUAAUCAGUGACCCUAAUUCUGGAGCUGCGAUUAGUGGUAGGUUUGUACUGACGCGCGUGUACAAAUUUGUUCCCGUGCUUCGGUUUCUCCGCAUGCUUUAGUUUGGUUUGUUGUGCGUAAGAGUUUUGUAGCCGCGUGAUUUCGUGUUUAGUGAAUUGACAGGCACGUUUUGUAGAAUACUGUAUUUUUAUGUGUACAAUAAUUAA
RNAcentral lists this long non-coding RNA (1664 nucleotides) under Setaria viridis. RNAcentral's name for it is "long non-coding RNA (SVIR_LNC001069)". The record is from RNAcentral. Lineage: Eukaryota; Viridiplantae; Streptophyta; Magnoliopsida; Poales; Poaceae.